Molecule: non-coding RNA, 108 nt
Organism: Oryza sativa Indica Group (long-grained rice)
Lineage: Eukaryota; Viridiplantae; Streptophyta; Magnoliopsida; Poales; Poaceae
Source: Rfam
UAAGUUUCUGUUUUGUGUGUAGGCUGAAAAAGCUCGGAGAUUGUGUGUUGACAUCAGCUUCGUCUCUUUAUGUCUGUGAGAUGGGAGUUAAAUGACAGCACGAAAUUC